CAAGAGAAUCUCAACACCCCUCGCAUGUGAGAAAUUCGGAGUAGCCUCUUCAACAACGAUCUCUUUUGAUCAAACCGCUGUCACUGUUCCCCGGUUUUCGGGCUUCUUUGCCUGGGAAUAGGGGAGGGAAGGACGGGUCUGCCCGUGAGGGCCCGGCGUCAAUUGACGUCCGCAGUUUGGCAUCAGAAAUAUCAGGGCCGUCCACCUGGAGGAUGUUCGGGGAAAUGUUUGGUUUCCUCGCGUCUUUUUCCGGGGGAUUGUUUUGCUCUAUGGGAAGCCACUGCGAAGAUUGUGUGUGAUAACACUUGAGUGCGAUGCGUGGCGUAGUCUUCUCCAUUUAUGGAGGGACUAUAAUUCGAUUCCGAUUAUUCUUCUUG
RNAcentral lists this RNase P RNA (377 nucleotides) under Claviceps purpurea 20.1. Its description in RNAcentral is "Nuclear RNase P". It matches the Rfam family "Nuclear RNase P". Rfam says of the family: Ribonuclease P (RNase P) is a ubiquitous endoribonuclease, found in archaea, bacteria and eukarya as well as chloroplasts and mitochondria. The record is from Rfam by way of RNAcentral. Lineage: Eukaryota; Fungi; Ascomycota; Sordariomycetes; Hypocreales; Clavicipitaceae.